GAGGGAGUGGCGGACGGGUGAGGAACACGUGGGUGACCUAUCUUUCAGUGAGGAAUACCGGCGAGAAAUCGCCGACAAGACCGCAUAGGCUUCUCCGUUCAACCGGAAAAGCAAAGCUUUUUCGCAAGAGGAGGCGCUGGAAGCUGGGCCCGCGGCCGAUUAGCUGGCUGGUGGGGUAAUGGCCUACCAGGGCAACGAUCGGUAGCUGGUCUGAGAGGACGAUCAGCCACACUGGGAUUGAGAACGGCCCAGACUCCUACGGGGGGCAGCAGUGAGGAAUUUUCGGCAAUGGGGGCAACCCUGACCGAGCAACGCCGCGUGCAGGACGACGGCCUUCGGGUUGUAAACUGCUUUUCUCGAGGACGAGGAAGGACGGUACUCGAGGAAGAAGCCCCGGCUAACUAAGUGCCAGCAGCCGCGGUAAUACAGAGGGUGCAAGCGUUGUUCGGAAUUAUUGGGCGUAAAGGGCGCGUAGGCGGCGCGGUAAGAGUGUGGUGAAAUCCCCGGGCUCAACUCGGGGCCUGCCACGCUGACUGCCGUGCUCGAGUAUGGGAGAGGUGCGUGGAAUUCCCGGUGUAGCGGUGAAAUGCGUAGAUAUCGGGAGGAACACCUGUGGCGAAAGCGGCGCACUGGACCAUAACUGACGCUGAGGCGCGAAAGCUAGGGGAGCAAACAGGAUUAGAUACCCUGGUAGUCCUAGCCCUAAACGAUGAUUGCUUGGUGUGCCGGGUACCCAAUCCCGCCGUGCCGAAGCUAACGCGAUAAGCAAUCCGCCUGGGGAGUACGGUCGCAAGGCUGGAACUCAAAGGAAUUGACGGGGGCCCGCACAAGCGGUGGAGCAUGUGGUUCAAUUCGACGCAACGCGAAGAAC
RNAcentral lists this ribosomal RNA (871 nucleotides) under uncultured bacterium. RNAcentral describes it as "bacterial SSU rRNA". It matches the Rfam family "Bacterial small subunit ribosomal RNA", at positions 89 to 969 of the family's 1533-position model. The record is from RNAcentral.